UCUGCAUGGCGCCGGUGACUCGAGCUCCAGUAUAUUCAGGCAGAUCAUUGCUUCCUAUUAUAAAAAAAGAAAUAAAGCACACUUGACAUCAAGCUAAACUAAGGCUCAACUGGGGAACCGCUGCAAAGGCAUGAGAAGGAAAGGCUCUUCCCAGACUAAAACAUCAAAGCUACUUUUUUUUUUCCCAGUUCACCAUUCUCCCACCAGGCCUCCCGGGACCAGCCUAUACUCCUAGGUUUUUCCACCGUACUAACACACAACACAAUGCAUGUACUGCACUGCACAGGUUGUGUGGCAGUUUGGAGUUUCUCUGUGUUGUCACACCAAAGUGCCUCCCUCAGUGCCAGGAGUGGCCAUGUGCUACGGAGUGGUUUGGAAGGAGGGGUGUGUGAGUGGGCUCAUCUCAGUGCUCCCCCAGUCCCUGGCAACUCUCUCCAGCACCGUUUGUAGGCACACUGGAGAACGUUUUGUAUCCCUGCUUGUCCCACCAGCUAUCCCAGGGCAGGAUAAUAAUGAGAGACUGCGGAGGGAAUCGGCGGAAAGCUGUUACGGAAGGAUCCUGACGGAACCAAGCGGGGAUCUGAAGAAGAAAAUCACCAACAGGAAACAUUGAGGUGUAUGGAAACAUCUAUGGAGGGAUUUGCUUAUGGCCAGUGUAAAGCUGUGAGACAACACCAUCUGCCCUGUAUAUUCACUAAUUAAUUAUGAAAUUAAACUUUUUAAUGUUUUAAUUGAGGUUUUUCCUGGAAAUAUAGGGGCUAAACAGGACUUAAAAGAUGUCUCAUUUUUCCCCAAUUUAAAAUAACAAAUGUGAGGAAAAUUAUCACAAUUGGAAUUCAGAAAAUUUAGUAAAGUGCUUGUUUUACAUCUGUAAGCUAAUGCAGUGAAUGUCUCA
Long non-coding RNA from Lepisosteus oculatus (spotted gar), 895 nucleotides. RefSeq lists it as uncharacterized. Lineage: Eukaryota; Metazoa; Chordata; Actinopteri; Semionotiformes; Lepisosteidae. The record is from RefSeq and is a predicted model, not a curated record.